AGCAGCCGCGGUAAUUCCAGCUCCAAUAGCGUAUAUUAAAGUUGUUGCAGUUAAAAAGCUCGUAGUUGAAUUUCGGGAUUGACGUGAUGGUCAUGCCUUAAGGGGUAUGAACUGUUACUGUUGAUUUCUCACCUUCUGGAGAAACCUGAUGUCCUUUAUUGGGUGUCUUGCGGAUCCAGGACCUUUACCUUGAAAAAUUAGAGUGUUUAAAGCAGGCAUUUUUGCUCGAAUACAUUAGCAUGGAAUAAUAGAAUAGGACGGCAUGGUUCUAUUUUGUUGGUUUCUAGGAUCACCGUAAUGAUUAAUAGGGAUAGUUGGGGGCAUUAGUAUUCAAUUGUCAGAGGUGAAAUUCUUGGAUUUAUUGAAGACUAACUACUGCGAAAGCAUUUGCCAAGGAUGUUUUCAUUAAUCAAGAACGAAAGUUAGGGGAUCGAAGACGAUCAGAUACCG
RNAcentral lists this ribosomal RNA (450 nucleotides) under uncultured Entrophospora. RNAcentral describes it as "SSU rRNA". It matches the Rfam family "Eukaryotic small subunit ribosomal RNA", at positions 569 to 1017 of the family's 1831-position model. Lineage: Eukaryota; Fungi; Glomeromycota; Glomeromycetes; Entrophosporales; Entrophosporaceae. The record is from RNAcentral.